Molecule: ribosomal RNA, 680 nt
Filed under: glacial ice bacterium ML-C10
Lineage: Bacteria
Description: bacterial SSU rRNA
Rfam family: Bacterial small subunit ribosomal RNA
Source: RNAcentral
GUCCAUGCCGUAAACGUUGGGCACUAGGUGUGGGGGACAUUCCACGUUUUCCGCGCCGUAGCUAACGCAUUAAGUGCCCCGCCUGGGGAGUACGGCCGCAAGGCUAAAACUCAAAGGAAUUGACGGGGGCCCGCACAAGCGGCGGAGCAUGCGGAUUAAUUCGAUGCAACGCGAAGAACCUUACCAAGGCUUGACAUGAACCGGAAAUACCUGGAAACAGGUGCCCCGCUUGCGGUCGGUUUACAGGUGGUGCAUGGUUGUCGUCAGCUCGUGUCGUGAGAUGUUGGGUUAAGUCCCGCAACGAGCGCAACCCUCGUUCUAUGUUGCCAGCGCGUUAUGGCGGGGACUCAUAGGAGACUGCCGGGGUCAACUCGGAGGAAGGUGGGGACGACGUCAAAUCAUCAUGCCCCUUAUGUCUUGGGCUUCACGCAUGCUACAAUGGCCGGUACAAAGGGUUGCGAUACUGUGAGGUGGAGCUAAUCCCUAAACCCGGUCUAGUUCGGAUUGGGGUCUGCAACUCGACCCCAUGAAGUCGGAGCGAUAGUAUCGCAGAUCGCCACGAUGCGGUGAAUACGUUCCCGGGGUUGUACAACCGCCCGUCAAGUCACAAGUUGGGACACCCCAGCCGGUGGCCUAUCCCCUUGUGGGAGGGAGCUGUCGAACGGUGGACUGACGAUUGG